RNAcentral lists this transfer RNA (68 nucleotides) under Sphingomonas endophytica. RNAcentral describes it as "tRNA-Arg". It matches the Rfam family "tRNA". Rfam says of the family: Transfer RNA (tRNA) molecules are approximately 80 nucleotides in length. Their secondary structure includes four short double-helical elements and three loops (D, anti-codon, and T loops). Lineage: Bacteria; Pseudomonadati; Pseudomonadota; Alphaproteobacteria; Sphingomonadales; Sphingomonadaceae. The record is from RNAcentral.
GUAGCAGGUGUACUCGCGCUGCCCUCCGAAGGCAGAGGCCACUGGUUCGAAUCCAGUCGGGUGCACCA